This 1041-nucleotide long non-coding RNA is filed under the name Numida meleagris (helmeted guineafowl). Its description in RNAcentral is "lncRNA (ENSNMEG00000008657.1)". The record is from RNAcentral. Lineage: Eukaryota; Metazoa; Chordata; Aves; Galliformes; Numididae.
AUGGCGACGCGUUGUCUAAGUAUUUUACUUCCCAUGUUCUUCAUUGGCCUUUCUCCAGCCGCAAGCGAAAGGGAAAGCAAGGGUCCCACCCCCCACAAUCCUCAUCCCUUCCAUGCACGACUCGGGGGGCACAACCCUUUCCUCGCAGCUGGACCAGACGGCGCUGAAUCGCAGAGGAGGACCCCACUUCCCGCCGCGGCUCCAGCCCCGCUGCCUCCCCUCCCCCGCGGCUCCCUUCCAGGCACAGGAAUAAGGGGAAGUGGGAAAAUCGGGGGCGCCAUUUUGAGCCGGGAAGAAGAGAGCUCAGCCUCUCUUCCCUACCACUGGGCUGCCCACCUUGGCAGCCCGCCCCACCGCCCAGUCUGCCCGCAGCGCCCGGCGGCGGCGGCCGGCGAGGGGGAGGAAGCCCGAGCAGCCCAGCCCCACAUCGGAUACUGUCGGGGCUUCACUAUCCGCCAAUGCGGCCCCCGCCCCACCAGCCCCGUCGCUGCCUCACCUGGCCAGGCCGCGGCGGCCGCGCAGGGGAAGGGGAGGACAGGGAGUCAGGCGGCGGAGGCGGCGCAGCGUCUGUCUGCUUGUCUGUCUGUCCGUCCGGCCAGCAGGGCUGGAGGCCUAGUCGGAGCAGGGCCGUGGGAGGAGGGGGCGGCGGGGAGGCGGCUCCACGACAGGCACGGGGUGGGGGCGAGGGGCGGGGGCGCAGCCGAGCCUCACCCAGAGGCCGCCGCCGACUUCCGCCGCCUCCUGUUCCCCGACCAAAACACACACGCACACGUACUUCCGGUACUGUCGCCACGUCACGGCCCGCACGCUUCCGGUUCGCCCGCGAGUCACAUGACUCCACGCUGCCUUUUCCUCCUCCUGUAUUUUCUCCCCCUCCCCACUGAAAGCGCUGAGGGUGGUUGGGUGCUAGUGCCUCCCGUCCCUCCUCAGAAGACCGACUGCUCUAGCGAAAGGCGUCUUCCAUGCCUCUUCUCUAGGAGCCACGUAUAUUUUAAAUUAGCAAUCACUGAUAAAGCUUUAGAGAUAGGUUUAGUAUUGUGA